UUUGAUUGGGGUACAUCUUUAUUCAUCUCUGACUCCAGUGUUCCAGUAGUUCUUGUGUACAGAGUAUCUCUGUAUAAUAUGUCUCUUUCUAUGUCUCCAUUUCUUUUAAUAGUGUUCAUUGUAUGUCUCGUUCCAUUGUUGAUAUUAGUUCAUCUUUAUCUCUCAUUAAUCUCUCUAGUCCAUGUAUCCUGUGCUUCUAUGAGGAUAUUACAUAUACAGCACUUACAUAUUGAUGUCUUUAUCCUGUGUAUGAAGUUUUAAACACAUCCAAUAUAAAAUUUUGAUGGUAGCAUGGAGCCAGCAUUUUUUAGAGGUGAUCCUUUUUGACUAAUUAUGAAGAGGGUUCAAUAAAAUCUGGGAAGAUUAUAGUAUUCAAAUCAUAAUGGUGAGGUAUAUCUCCUAACUAAAGGUGAUAAUAAUCAGGUUGAUGACAGAGGAUUGUACGCUCCAGAAAAGCUGUGGGUUAAAAUGGAUGAAGCAGUAGAACAUGCUAGAGGUUUCCUGCCAUACAUUGGAAUGGUCACAAUAAAUUAAUGAAGGAUUACCCAAAACUGAAAUAUCUUCUUUUAUAUGUGGCUUAGCAGUUUUUGUUAUACUGCAUAGGGAGUAGUCAUUAAUUGAUUCCUUUGAUCAUUACACUAUAAUCAUUAUUUUGUUGAAUAAAUUAAUAAUAUACUCUAAUUGGCAUCUUGCCAUAGAAUACCACAAAAAUCACUCACAAAAA
This is a long non-coding RNA of Amphimedon queenslandica, 724 nucleotides long. RefSeq lists it as uncharacterized. NCBI's taxonomy places the organism in Eukaryota, Metazoa, Porifera, Demospongiae, Haplosclerida, Niphatidae. The record is from RefSeq and is a predicted model, not a curated record. The transcript is spliced from 5 exons.